UGGGGAAUAUUGGACAAUGGGGGCAACCCUGAUCCAGCCAUGCCGCGUGAAGGAUGAAGUAUUUCGGUAUGUAAACUUCGAAAGAAUAGGAAGAAUAAAUGACGGUACUAUUUAUAAGCUCCGGCUAACUACGUGCCAGCAGCCGCGGUAAUACGUAGGGUGCAAGCGUUAAUCGGAAUUACUGGGCGUAAAGCGUGCGCAGGCGGUUUGGUAAGUCAGUUGUGAAAUCUCCGAGCUUAACUCGGAACGGUCAACUGAUACUGUCAAACUAGAGUACAGAAGGGGCAAUCGGAAUUCUUGGUGUAGCGGUGAAAUGCGUAGAUAUCAAGAGGAACACCUGAGGCGAAGGCGGGUUGCUGGGCUGAUACUGACGCUGAAGCGCGAAAGCUAGGGUAGCAAACGGGAUUAGAUACCCAUGUAGUCCCUGAGCGGGCUGGCAAGGCGCAU
Molecule: ribosomal RNA, 447 nt
Filed under: uncultured bacterium
Lineage: Bacteria
Description: bacterial SSU rRNA
Rfam family: Bacterial small subunit ribosomal RNA
Source: RNAcentral